UAGGGAAUUUUGGGCAAUGGGCGAAAGCCUGACCCAGCAACGCCGCGUGUGGGAUGAAGGCCCUCGGGUCGUAAACCACUGUCAGGAGGAAAGAAAAGUCGGCCGGAUAAUACUCGGUCGACCUGACGGUACCUCCAAAGGAAGCACCGGCUAACUCCGUGCCAGCAGCCGCGGUAAUACGGAGGGUGCAAGCGUUGUUCGGAAUUACUGGGCGUAAAGCGCGUGUAGGUGGUCGAGUAAGUCGAAUGUGAAAGCCCCGGGCUCAACCCGGGAAGUGCAUCCGAAACUGCUCGACUAGAGUCCCGGAGAGGAAGGCAGAAUUCCCAAUGUAGGGGUGAAAUCCGUAGAUAUUGGGAGGAAUACCGGUGGCGAAGGCGGCCUUCUGGACGGUGACUGACACUCAGACGCGAAAGCGUGGGGAGCAAACAGGAUUAGAUACCCAGGUAGUCCCUGAGCGGGCUGGCAAGGCGCAU
This 473-nucleotide ribosomal RNA is filed under the name uncultured bacterium. RNAcentral's name for it is "bacterial SSU rRNA". It matches the Rfam family "Bacterial small subunit ribosomal RNA", at positions 355 to 825 of the family's 1533-position model. The record is from RNAcentral.